RNAcentral lists this ribosomal RNA (483 nucleotides) under uncultured bacterium. Its description in RNAcentral is "partial 16S ribosomal RNA". The record is from RNAcentral.
GUAGUUAGCCGGGGCUUCCUCACAGGGUACCGUCACUUCUUCGUCCCCUGCGACAGAGGUUUACAAUCCGAAAACCUUCUUCCCUCACGCGGCGUUGCUGGGUCAGGCUUGCGCCCAUUGCCCAAUAUUCCCCACUGCUGCCUCCCGUAGGAGUCUGGACCGUGUCUCAGUUCCAGUGUGGCCGAUCAGCCUCUCAGCUCGGCUACCCAUCGUCGGCAUGGUGGGCCGUUACCCCGCCAUCUACCUAAUGGGACGCGAACCCCUCCUUCAUCGAUCUCUCUUUGACCUCAUCGCCAUGCGGCAUCGUGGUCUUAUGCGGUAUUAGCACUUGUUUCCAGGUGUUAUCCCCCUUUGAAGGUCAGGUUGUUCACGCGUUACUCACCCGUGCGCCACUAAACUGUCUACCGAAAUAAACAGCUCCGUUCGACUUGCAUGUGUUAGGCACGCCGCCAGCGUUCGUCCUGAGCCAGAAUCAAACUCUGA